UUAUGGUCAGAUUAUGGUCAGGUUAUGAUCAGGUUAUGGUCAGGUUAUGGUCAGGUUACGGUCAGGUUACGGUCAGGCUAUGGUCAGAUUAUGGUCAGAUUAUGGUCAGAUUACAGUCAGGUUAUGAUCAUUACGGUCAGGUUACGGUCAGAUUACAGUCAGGUUAUGAUCAUUACGGUCAGGUUACGGUCAGAUUACAGUCAGGUUAUGGUCAGGUUAUGGUCAGAUUAUGGUCAGGUUAUGGUGAGAUUACGGUCAGGUUAUUGUCAGAUUAUGGUCAGGUUAUGGUGAGAUUAUAAUCAGGUUAUGGUCAGGUUAUGGUCACGUUACAGUCAGGUUAUGGUCAGG
Long non-coding RNA from Ictalurus punctatus (channel catfish), 348 nucleotides. Lineage: Eukaryota; Metazoa; Chordata; Actinopteri; Siluriformes; Ictaluridae. The record is from Ensembl.